UGGCUCAGGACGAACGCUGGCGGCGUGCCUAAUACAUGCAAGUUGAGCGCUGAAGGUUGGUACUUGUACCAACUGGAUGAGCAGCGAACGGGUGAGUAACGCGUGGGGAAUCUGCCUUUGAGCGGGGGACAACAUUUGGAAACGAAUGCUAAUACCGCAUAAAAACUUUAAACACAAGUUUUAAGUUUGAAAGAUGCAAUUGCAUCACUCAAAGAUGAUCCCGCGUUGUAUUAGCUAGUUGGUGAGGUAAAGGCUCACCAAGGCGAUGAUACAUAGCCGACCUGAGAGGGUGAUCGGCCACAUUGGGACUGAGACACGGCCCAAACUCCUACGGGAGGCAGCAGUAGGGAAUCUUCGGCAAUGGACGAAAGUCUGACCGAGCAACGCCGCGUGAGUGAAGAAGGUUUUCGGAUCGUAAAACUCUGUUGGUAGAGAAGAACGUUGGUGAGAGUGGAAAGCUCAUCAAGUGACGGUAACUACCCAGAAAGGGACGGCUAACUACGU
RNAcentral lists this ribosomal RNA (504 nucleotides) under Lactococcus lactis subsp. lactis. RNAcentral describes it as "bacterial SSU rRNA". It matches the Rfam family "Bacterial small subunit ribosomal RNA", at positions 20 to 506 of the family's 1533-position model. Lineage: Bacteria; Bacillati; Bacillota; Bacilli; Lactobacillales; Streptococcaceae. The record is from RNAcentral.